Molecule: ribosomal RNA, 1077 nt
Filed under: Vibrio alginolyticus
Lineage: Bacteria; Pseudomonadati; Pseudomonadota; Gammaproteobacteria; Vibrionales; Vibrionaceae
Description: bacterial SSU rRNA
Rfam family: Bacterial small subunit ribosomal RNA
Source: RNAcentral
AACGAGUUAUCUGAACCUUCGGGGAACGAUAACGGCGUCGAGCGGCGGACGGGUGAGUAAUGCCUAGGAAAUUGCCCUGAUGUGGGGGAUAACCAUUGGAAACGAUGGCUAAUACCGCAUGAUGCCUACGGGCCAAAGAGGGGGACCUUCGGGCCUCUCGCGUCAGGAUAUGCCUAGGUGGGAUUAGCUAGUUGGUGAGGUAAGGGCUCACCAAGGCGACGAUCCCUAGCUGGUCUGAGAGGAUGAUCAGCCACACUGGAACUGAGACACGGUCCAGACUCCUACGGGAGGCAGCAGUGGGGAAUAUUGCACAAUGGGCGCAAGCCUGAUGCAGCCAUGCCGCGUGUGUGAAGAAGGCCUUCGGGUUGUAAAGCACUUUCAGUCGUGAGGAAGGUAGUGUCGUUAAUAGCGGCAUUACUUGACGUUAGCGACAGAAGAAGCACCGGCUAACUCCGUGCCAGCAGCCGCGGUAAUACGGAGGGUGCGAGCGUUAAUCGGAAUUACUGGGCGUAAAGCGCAUGCAGGUGGUUUGUUAAGUCAGAUGUGAAAGCCCGGGGCUCAACCUCGGAAUAGCAUUUGAAACUGGCAGACUAGAGUACUGUAGAGGGGGGUAGAAUUUCAGGUGUAGCGGUGAAAUGCGUAGAGAUCUGAAGGAAUACCGGUGGCGAAGGCGGCCCCCUGGACAGAUACUGACACUCAGAUGCGAAAGCGUGGGGAGCAAACAGGAUUAGAUACCCUGGUAGUCCACGCCGUAAACGAUGUCUACUUGGAGGUUGUGGCCUUGAGCCGUGGCUUUCGGAGCUAACGCGUUAAGUAGACCGCCUGGGGAGUACGGUCGCAAGAUUAAAACUCAAAUGAAUUGACGGGGGCCCGCACAAGCGGUGGAGCAUGUGGUUUAAUUCGAUGCAACGCGAAGAACCUUACCUACUCUUGACAUCCAGAGAACUUUCCAGAGAUGGAUUGGUGCCUUCGGGAACUCUGAGACAGGUGCUGCAUGGCUGUCGUCAGCUCGUGUUGUGAAAUGUUGGGUUAAGUCCCGCAACGAGCGCAACCCUUAUCCUUGUUUGCCAGCGAGUA